ACGCUCGACACCUACGGGGNGAGCAGUGGGGAAUAUUGCACAAUGGGGGAAACCCUGAUGCAGCGACGCCGCGUGAGCGAAGAAGUAUUUCGGUAUGUAAAGCUCUAUCAGCAGGGAAGAAACUGACGGUACCUGACUAAGAAGCACCGGCUAAAUACGUGCCAGCAGCCGCGGUAAUCUGAGCGGGCUGGCAAGGC
RNAcentral lists this ribosomal RNA (197 nucleotides) under uncultured bacterium. Its description in RNAcentral is "partial 16S ribosomal RNA". It matches the Rfam family "Bacterial small subunit ribosomal RNA", at positions 328 to 539 of the family's 1533-position model. The record is from RNAcentral.